UGGGGAAUAUUGCACAAUGGGCGAAAGCCUGAUGCAGCGACGCCGCGUGAGGGAUGAAGGCCUUCGGGUUGUAAACCUCUUUCAGCAGGGAAGAAGCGCAAGUGACGGUACCUGCAGAAGAAGCGCCGGCUAACUACGUGCCAGCAGCCGCGGUAAUACGUAGGGCGCAAGCGUUGUCCGGAAUUAUUGGGCGUAAAGAGCUCGUAGGCGGUUUGUCGCGUCUGGUGUGAAAACUCGAGGCUCAACCUCGAGCUUGCAUCGGGUACGGGCAGACUAGAGUGCGGUAGGGGAGACUGGAAUUCCUGG
This 306-nucleotide ribosomal RNA is filed under the name uncultured Cellulosimicrobium sp. Its description in RNAcentral is "bacterial SSU rRNA". It matches the Rfam family "Bacterial small subunit ribosomal RNA", at positions 355 to 673 of the family's 1533-position model. Lineage: Bacteria; Bacillati; Actinomycetota; Actinomycetes; Micrococcales; Promicromonosporaceae. The record is from RNAcentral.